AGUGAACACUGGCGGCAGGCCUAAUACAUGCAAGUCGAACGGCAGCACAGCAGAGCUUGCUCUGUGGGUGGCGAGUGGCGGACGGGUGAGGAAUACAUGGGAAUCUGCCCAGUCGUGGGGGAUAACGUAUGGAAACGUACGCUAAUACCGCAUGCGCCCUACGGGGGAAAGCCGGGGACCGCAAGGCCUGGCGCGACUGGAUGAGCCCAUGUUCGAUUAGCUAGUUGGCGGGGCAAAGGCCCACCAAGGCGACGAUCGAUAGCUGGUCUGAGAGGAUGAUCAGCCACACUGGAACUGAGACACGGUCCAGACUCCUACGGGAGGCAGCAGUAGGGAAUAUUGGACAAUGGGGGCGAACCCUGAUCCAGCCAUGCCGCGUGAGUGAAGAAGGCCCUCGGGUUGUAAAGCCUUUUGUCCGGAAAGAAAAGCAAUCGGUUAAUACCCGGUUGUUCUGACGGUACCGGAAGAAUAAGCACCGGCUAACUUCGUGCC
Molecule: ribosomal RNA, 492 nt
Filed under: uncultured bacterium
Lineage: Bacteria
Description: bacterial SSU rRNA
Rfam family: Bacterial small subunit ribosomal RNA
Source: RNAcentral